GUCCGCCUCACCGCGUGCACUGGUCCGGCCGGGCCUUUCCUCCUGGGGAGCCGCAUGCCCUUCACUGGGUGUGUCGGGGAACCAGGACUUUUACUUUGAAAAAAUUAGAGUGUUCAAAGCAGGCCUAUGCUCGAAUACAUUAGCAUGGAAUAAUAGAAUAGGACGUGUGGUUCUAUUUUGUUGGUUUCUAGGACCGCCGUAAUGAUUAAUAGGGAUAGUCGGGGGCAUCAGUAUUCAAUUGU
This 242-nucleotide ribosomal RNA is filed under the name uncultured fungus. RNAcentral's name for it is "partial 18S ribosomal RNA". The stretch from base 77 to 242 matches the Rfam family "Eukaryotic small subunit ribosomal RNA", at positions 738 to 905 of the family's 1831-position model. Lineage: Eukaryota; Fungi. The record is from RNAcentral.